CCUACGGGAGGCAGCAGUCGAGAAUCAUUCACAAUGGGGGAAACCCUGAUGGUGCGACGCCGCGUGGGGGAAUGAAGGUCUUCGGAUUGUAAACCCCUGUCAUGUGGGAGCAAAUUAAAAAGAUAGUACCACAAGAGGAAGAGACGGCUAACUCUGUGCCAGCAGCCGCGGUAAUACAGAGGUCUCAAGCGUUGUUCGGAAUCACUGGGCGUAACGCGUGCGUAGGCUGUUUCGUAAGUCGUGUGUGAAAGGCGCGGGCUCAACCCGCGGACGGCACAUGAUACUGCGAGACUAGAGUAAUGGAGGGGGAACCGGAAUUCUCGGUGUAGCAGUGAAAUGCGUAGAUAUCGAGAGGAACACUCGUGGCGAAGGCGGGUUCCUGGACAUUAACUGACGCUGAGGCACGAAGGCCAGGGGAGCGAAAGGGAUUAGAUACCCCGGUAGUC
RNAcentral lists this ribosomal RNA (446 nucleotides) under uncultured bacterium. RNAcentral describes it as "partial 16S ribosomal RNA". It matches the Rfam family "Bacterial small subunit ribosomal RNA", at positions 338 to 795 of the family's 1533-position model. The record is from RNAcentral.